GUUGAACGCUGGCGGCGUGCCUAAUACAUGCAAGUCGAGCGAAGCGGGGACGGGCGAGUAACACGUGGAUAACCUCUUAUCAGACUGGGAUAACUUCGGGAAACCGGAGCUAAACCGGAGAGUUAAUGCUGGAGUCGCGCGGCAUUAGUUAGUUGGUAAGGUAACGGCUUACCAAGGCAACGAUGCAUAGCCGACCUGAUAGGGUGAUCGGCCACACUGGAACUGAGACACGGUCCAGACUCCUACGGGAGGCAGCAGUAGGGAAUCUUCCGCAAUGGGCGAAAGCCUGACGGAGCAACGCCGCGUGAGUGAAGAAGGUCUUCGGAUCGUAAAGCUCUGUCAUUAGGGAAGCGGUACCUGAUCAGAAAGCACCGGCUAACUACGUGCCAGCAGCCGCGGUAAUUC
RNAcentral lists this ribosomal RNA (405 nucleotides) under uncultured bacterium. RNAcentral's name for it is "partial 16S ribosomal RNA". It matches the Rfam family "Bacterial small subunit ribosomal RNA", at positions 28 to 526 of the family's 1533-position model. The record is from RNAcentral.